AUUGCUCUGCCUGCUCCCGCCGCUGCUGCCUUUGCUCCCGCCCAGAGCCGCUCCCGGCAGCUCCGUUCUCUCGGCGCUGCCGCGUGCUUUCGGACUCUUCCUCACUCAGCAAACACGCAGCUCGCUCUCGGCAUGCACCUCGCAUCUCUCAUCCUCAGCGUCUUGCUGGCCCGGCUCCUGGGCGCCACGGGGCAGGACACGGUCACCCAGGAUGAUGGACCAGUCACGGUGAAGCAGGGACACUCCUUCCACACCACCUGCAAAUACCCGUGCACUAAUUUUGGGGGAUUGUUCUGGUACCAGCUGCACAAAGGCCAAGCCCCGCAGCUGCUCUCCUAUCAAGCAGGGAGUGGCCCCAAGCACAGCGGCCGGAUCACCACGCACCUGAACACCACGGGCAAAUCCAGUGUCCUGCAGCUGGAGGAAGUGGAGCUCUCUGAC
Non-coding RNA from Lonchura striata (white-rumped munia), 441 nucleotides. Lineage: Eukaryota; Metazoa; Chordata; Aves; Passeriformes; Estrildidae. The record is from the annotation of a RefSeq genome assembly.